RNAcentral lists this ribosomal RNA (774 nucleotides) under uncultured Neocallimastigales. Its description in RNAcentral is "partial large subunit ribosomal RNA". It matches the Rfam family "Eukaryotic large subunit ribosomal RNA", at positions 18 to 643 of the family's 3401-position model. The record is from RNAcentral. Lineage: Eukaryota; Fungi; Neocallimastigomycota; Neocallimastigomycetes; Neocallimastigales.
UCAGACGAUGCGUCAUGCAUAUCAAUAAGCGGAGGAAAAGAAACUAACAAGGAUUCCCCUAGUAACGGCGAGUGAAGCGGGAAGAGCUCAAAUUUGAAAUCUUAAAGGGUUUCCCUUUACGAAUUGUAGUUUAAAGAAGUGUUUUCUGUUGAGGUUUUGGUAAAAGUUCUUUGGAAUAGGACAUCAUAGAGGGUGAGAAUCCCGUAUUUGACCUUUACUUUCAACUUUGUGAUACACUUUCAAAGAGUCGGAUUGUUUGGGAAUGCAGUCCAAAAUGGGUGGUAAAUUUCAUCUAAAGCUAAAUAUUGGCGAGAGACCGAUAGCGAACAAGUACCGUGAGGGAAAGAUGAAAAGAACUUUGAAAAGAGAGUUAAACGGUACGUGAAAUUGUCAAAAGGGAAGCGUUUGACACCAGUGUUGUUUUUCUGAAAAUCAAUUAAAGAACUGUUUAUGCUAAGCUGUUUAGACUUUAUCAGCUAUCUGUUUAGUUUUGAGCUUUUCUUUAAUGCACUUUUCAGUUAACAAGUCAACAUCAAUUUCUUUUGCUGUAAAAAAGCUUGAGGAAGGUGGCUUGAGAUUCGUCUUAAGUGUUUAUAGCCUCUUGCCUAUGCAGUCGGAGAGAUUGAGGUCUGCAGCGUAGAUCCUUCGGGGCUAAAUGCAUUUGUGCUAAGUUAUAGCAUUUUAUAGACAACUUGUUGACUAUGAUUUGUCUUGUAGCUUACUCGCUUAUGUUAUUUUACCUACGCUUAGGAUGUUGACACACGCGCGUGCUCG